RNAcentral lists this ribosomal RNA (427 nucleotides) under uncultured bacterium. Its description in RNAcentral is "partial 16S ribosomal RNA". It matches the Rfam family "Bacterial small subunit ribosomal RNA", at positions 355 to 774 of the family's 1533-position model. The record is from RNAcentral.
UGGGGAAUAUUGGACAAUGGGCGAAAGCCUGAUCCAGCCAUGCCGCGUGUGUGAAGAAGGUCUUCGGAUUGUAAAGCACUUUAAGUUGGGAGGAAGGGCAUUAACCUAAUACGUUAGUGUUUUGACGUUACCGACAGAAUAAGCACCGGCUAACUCUGUGCCAGCAGCCGCGGGAAUACAGAGGGUGCAAGCGUUAAUCGGAAUUACUGGGCGUAAAGCGCGCGUAGGUGGUUUGUUAAGUUGGAUGUGAAAUCCCCGGGCUCAACCUGGGAACUGCAUUCAAAACUGACUGACUAGAGUAUGGUAGAGGGUGGUGGAAUUUCCUGUGUAGCGGUGAAAUGCGUAGAUAUAGGAAGGAACACCAGUGGCGAAGGCGACCACCUGGACUAAUACUGACACUGAGGUGCGAAAGCGUGGGGAGCAAACA